Molecule: long non-coding RNA, 835 nt
Organism: Panthera uncia (snow leopard)
Lineage: Eukaryota; Metazoa; Chordata; Mammalia; Carnivora; Felidae
Exons: 4
Source: RefSeq, a predicted model, not a curated record
UUUCACACGGAAGAUUACAGCCAUGGCUUUCACCAAGCUGAAAAACAAGCUUUAAUGUGAUGAUCCACACAAGACCAAACCUGAUGAGAAAAUGUAGGGUGUUGCUAUGGCAAUUCCAUUCGUUGGAACUUUUCUCUGUUGGCUUCACUCUGUCAUUACAUUCUAAAAAGAAUCGUAUGAAAAGGUGUGGUGGCUGUGAAGACAAACGUGAAGCCGAGAAGAUGGAGCUUUCUCAUCUGUCCUUCCCCAAAAGAGAGAAUACCGUCACAUUAGUUACAAAGGUGGAGAAGACAUAAUCUUGAGAUUCCAGAAGCUUAUCUCGUGGAGGAGGUAACACAUAACCAAAUACCUAUGGACACAGUAGAUGGUAAAUGAGCUCUGAGUGACAGCAUAGUCUUAAAAAAGGAAUCUCUCAUCUGGCUUCAUACAAAGUGUGGAAUCACUACUGAGGUUCUGAAAAACGCAUGAUUUUAACAAUACAUUUCUUUCAGAGUUGUUCACUUUUCAAAAUUUAUUUAUCCAUUAUCCAACUGUAGUAGAAGAAAGCAUCAUCAGAAAGUGUUCCUGGUACUGAUCUGAUUUUCCAAGGAAUCUAUGACUCAAAACUAGAUCAGGAUGCCUGCUUUCAAGUUCAUCAGAUUUCUGGUUGCUCAGUCAUCAAGGUCCUGUUAAGGUGUCAGGGACGUCACUUACCACUUAUGAAUGCAAACCAACCGAUUGUGUUCCUUAUCUGCUGAGUAGUACUUACAAGAGGGGUAGAUUUUGAGACUGAUUUUCCUGAGAAAGUUGAUAUUUUCAAAGAAAUUGAAUAAAUUCCAUUCAUCUACAGUGAAAA